This 502-nucleotide ribosomal RNA is filed under the name uncultured marine eukaryote. Its description in RNAcentral is "SSU rRNA". It matches the Rfam family "Eukaryotic small subunit ribosomal RNA", at positions 616 to 1119 of the family's 1831-position model. The record is from RNAcentral.
UGGUUAAAAAGCUCGUAGUUGGAUCUCGGCGGACUGAGGGCGGUUUGCUUGCUAGUAUUACUGCCCUAUAGUCCGUAGUUUUGCCAGAGGUUUCGGGGUGCUCUUAAUCGAGUGUCCCGGGAUGCUGGCAGGUUUACUUUGAAAAAAUUAGAGUGCUCAAAGCAGGCUAUUACGCCUGAAUAUUCGUGCAUGGAAUAAUAGAAUAGGAAGUCGUUUCUAUUUUGUUGGUUUUCGGAAAUCGACUUAAUGAUUAAUAGGGACAGUCGGGGGCAUUUGUAUUCAAACGACAGAGGUGAAAUUCUUGGACCGUUUGAAGACAAACUACUGCGAAAGCAUUUGCCAAGAAUGUUUUCAUUAAUCAAGAACGAAAGUUAAAGGUUCGAAGGCGAUUAGAUACCGCCCUAGUUUUAACCAUAAACGAUGCCAGCUAGCGAUCUGCGGACGUUUUUUUUGUAGACUCCGCAGGAAUCUUCCGGGAAACCAAAGCAUUUGGGUUCCAGGG